UACGUAGGUGGCAAGCGUUGUCCGGAUUUACUGGGCGUAAAGGGAGCGUAGGCGGACUUUUAAGUGGGAUGUGAAAUACCCGGGCUUAACCUGGGUGCUGCAUUCCAAACUGGGAGUCUAGAGUGCAGGAGGGGAAAGUGGAAUUCCUAGUGUAGCGGUGAAAUGCGUAGAGAUUAGGAAGAACACCAGUGGCGAAGGCGACUUUCUGGACUGUAACUGACGCUGAGGAUCGAAAGCGUGGGGAGCGAACAGG
Molecule: ribosomal RNA, 253 nt
Filed under: uncultured bacterium
Lineage: Bacteria
Description: partial 16S ribosomal RNA
Rfam family: Bacterial small subunit ribosomal RNA
Source: RNAcentral